CGAAUGGCUCAUUAUAUAAGUUAUCGUUUAUUUGAUAGUGCCUUACUACUUGGAUAACCGUGGUAAUUCUAGAGCUAAUACAUGCUAAAAGACCCGACUUUGGAAGGGUUGUAUUUAUUAGAUUAAAAACCAAUGCCCUCUGGGCUCACUGGUGAAUCAUGAUAACUUCGCGAAUCGCAUGGCCUUGUGCCGGCGAUGGCUCAUUCAAAUUUCUUCCCUAUCAACUUUCGAUGUUUGGGUAGUGGCCAAACAUGGUUGCAACGGGUAACGGAGGGUUAGGGCUCGACCCCGGAGAAGGAGCCUGAGAAACGGCUACUACAUCCAAGGAAGGCAGCAGGCGCGCAAAUUACCCAAUCCCGAUUCGGGGAGGUAGUGACAAUAAAUACUGAUACAGGGCUCUUUUGGGUCUUGUAAUUGGAAUGAGUACAAUUUAAAUCCCUUAACGAGGAACAAUUAGAGGGCAAGUCUGGUGCCAGCAGCCGCGGUAAUUCCAGCUCUAAUAGCGUAUAUUAAAGUUGUUGUGGUUAAAAAGCUCGUAGUUGAACCUUGGGCCUGGCUGGCGGGUCCGCCUCACCGCGUGUACUUCGCCGGCCGGGCCUUUCCCUCUGUGGAACCCUAUGCCCUUCACUGGGUGUGGUGGGGAAACAGGACUUUUACUUUGAAAAAAUUAGAGUGCUCCAGGCAGGCCUAUGCUCGAAUAUAUUAGCAUGGAAUAAUAAAAUAGGACGUGUGGUUCUAUUUUGUUGGUUUCUAGGACCGCCGUAAUGAUUAAUAGGGACAGCCGGGGGCAUCAGUAUUCAAUUGUCAGAGGUGAAAUUCUUGGAUUUAUUGAAGACUAACUACUGCGAAAGCAUUUGCCAAGAAUGUUUUCAUUAAUCAGGAACGAAAGUUAGGGGAUCGAAGACGAUCAGAUACCGUCGUAGUCUUAACCAUAAACUAUGCCGACUAGGGAUCGGACGAUGUUAUUACUUGACUCGUUCGGCACCUUACGAGAAAUCAAAGUGCUUGGGCUCC
Molecule: ribosomal RNA, 1014 nt
Filed under: Ophiocordyceps sp.
Lineage: Eukaryota; Fungi; Ascomycota; Sordariomycetes; Hypocreales; Ophiocordycipitaceae
Description: SSU rRNA
Rfam family: Eukaryotic small subunit ribosomal RNA
Source: RNAcentral